RNAcentral lists this ribosomal RNA (506 nucleotides) under Riseriellus occultus. Its description in RNAcentral is "partial 16S ribosomal RNA". It matches the Rfam family "Bacterial large subunit ribosomal RNA", at positions 1808 to 2596 of the family's 2925-position model. Lineage: Eukaryota; Metazoa; Nemertea; Pilidiophora; Heteronemertea; Lineidae. The record is from RNAcentral.
CAAAAACAUAGCUUAUUGAUUUUUUAUAAUAAGUUUUUUCUGCCCGGUGUGUAUUUUAACGGCCGCGGUAUCCUGACCGUGCAAAGGUAGCAUAAUCACUUGUCCUUUAAUUGGGGACUAGAAUGAAAGAAAUUUUGAAGCUCUCUCUGUCUCUUUUUUAAAUUUUUUAAUUUGCUGUCUUUGUGAAGAAGCAAAGGUGUCUGAAAAAGACAAGAAGACCCUAUUAAGCUUGAUCUUUUUAUUUUUAUUCAUUUUUAAAAUAAAAAUAAAAAGAUUUGGUUGGGGUGACUAAAGAAGAAUUGUGUAUCUUCUUUUCUUUGAAAAACUAUGUGUUUAAAAAUGACCCGGGACUUCCUGGUUAAAAGAAGUAGUUACUAUAGGGAUAACAGCGUAAUCUUUUCAUAAAGUUCUUAUUGAAGAAAAGGAUUGCGACCUCGAUGUUGACUUAUUUUAUCCUGUUAAGGUGUAGCAGCUGCAAGGGUUGGUCUGUUCGACCAUUAAAAAAG